CAUAUCCGGACUUUUCUGGUGUAAACAACGACAGUUGCGUCAGCCGAACAUUGAAGAAAAGCUGACAAGUCAUGGAGGAAGAAGAUCCCUCUCAAGAAAGUAUUGCAGUGAUGAAGUCAGAUGAGAUGACAGGUUGUGUGAUUUGAAGAUGGACUUCUGCAACAAAGUAAACACUCCUCUACCUUUUCCAUACAAAAGAAACAGCAAAGCAGAGAGAUCGAAACAUUUGGUAAAAGUACAAAGAAAACAGGAUUAGUUAAACUUGUGAAAAAUAUCAAGACUAUUGAAGAGCAGAUUAUAUGUAAAAAGAAAGAUCAA
Molecule: long non-coding RNA, 318 nt
Organism: Saccostrea echinata
Lineage: Eukaryota; Metazoa; Mollusca; Bivalvia; Ostreida; Ostreidae
Exons: 3
Source: RefSeq, a predicted model, not a curated record